AGCCGGUGCCGGGAGAGGCCCCUCUCCCCCCGCGGCUGGCGCGGAAUGUGGCGAUCCGGCCAGGGGCGGGGGAUGACUUCCGGCGGCCGGAGCUCGGCGCCGGGAGCAGGUGCUGCAGCUGGCAGGUGGGGUGGGGGCCGGCCGAGCUGACCACACACAGACGCGGCGCGGCGGCACUGCGGCCCCCGGGCAGCCGGCGCCGGGGACAUGCGCUGAUUCGAUCCCUCCGGAGAAGAACUCUACUGCAACAACGAUCAGUGGUCUACUGAACUUGUGUAAGAUGACCAGAAGUUGAAGUAUGAAUGACAACUUGGUGAAAAAAACCCUGCGGCAUAUACCAAAUACCAAGAUGUGCAUCCUCUGCCCAUCCUCAUUUCUGUAUUCCCACUCAUCCCAUCGUAAUUAGAUUCUGCCACUUUUCUCCUGAGCCCUAUAAUAGUCUCAUGUCUACUCACUUCCCAUCUCUUCCCCGUCUUUUAAUCUCAAAUGCCGUUCAUACAUACAGAACGUCACCUGAAUGAUGUUCAUAACUGAUGGCUGCUUGCUUUCUUAAGAAUGCUUAAAAGAUGCAGUGUUGGAAGAGAAAGCUGUCACCACCUGCUGACUUGUGCCCAAAGUCUCCGAGGCUGAAACUUCUGCUUUCAUAAAUGGGGAGGCCCAGCACAGAAGUGAAAUGAAGAAGUGCCAUAAAAGAGCUUAUGAGCCUUUUAAAGACUUCCCAGGAGAUAUACACACACACAUACAUGUACACAAGAUGUUCAGUGUGAUUUCAGAGAAAUUCUCAGAGACCUCAUAUGUCUCGAACACUGGGUAAGACCUCUGCUUCCAGACAUUCUAAAAUUUACUCUUGAAUAAUGCAACCCAGAGAGCGGUGUACUUGGACCAAAUUACUUAUAUCCCUUAUAGUAUUAUUUCUGGCAAAUUACCCCAUCUGCUUUUGGCUUGCAUAACAGACAAUUGCAAGAAUUUCUUUUCUAUCUAUUGGUAGAGGUCCUCUUCCAUCACAUCCUUUAUACAAAGACUAUAUAAAUGCACAUAAUAUCUUACAUAUUAUUUCAUAGGUUUAAGAGAUACUUGGUGUCCAAUGUAGAAUAACAUGGACUAUGGGCUAACCAUGUUCUAUAAAGAAUAAAGUAGUUCUUUGUAAACUAGACUGUUUAUAUAUUUCAUACACACUCUGUUUCCCAGUUAUUCUCUCUUAUCACUUAAUAAAUUCUUUUGAUGUCUUUUCUAUAUCAUUUGUACUAAAGUGAAACAAAGUGAGAUGUUUUUGAUUGCUCCAUACCUGGACAAAAGUGUUAGAAUGGAAGCCUAGAGGCUGCUAUGGUGGUAGCAGUCAUAAUGAAAAUGAGAGAACCCCUAAAUGGAUGUGGUUUUCCUGCUUCAAUUACCUGGAGAUUGUUUUCCAGUGCUGACACCAGGAUGUCCUGAAUUUUGCUUUAGUGAAAGGAAUUAGUGUUUCCUCUACAGUUUUAAUUAUAAUUUUGUUUCCUCUAAAAUUGCUACGUAAUUUCAUUGACCAUUGAGUUAAUACAAAGUGAACUCCUUGGCCUGGCCCUCCAGGCACUCCAACUGUUCUAACCUAUCCCUGCUGCUCCAUCACCUCCCCUUCUCCUACACAUGGGCCUGUGCUGCCAUCAAACUGCACAAACCUCUCUUCUCUCAAGUGCUGGGGAGUUUUCUAAUCUCUGUCACUUUUCAUUCUGCUGAUUAUGUCAGGAAUUGGAUUUUCUUAGAUGUGAUGCAUAUUAAAUCUACUUUACAUGUAUAACAUGUUUAUAUAGUUAAUAAAUUUGACAAAAAAUUAUUAAAUGAUACCUAAUGAUGACUACGUUACAAAAUCAUAUAUAUAUAUAUAUGCCUUUUCAUAUAUAUUCAUGUCUUUCAACACUAACCUCACCCUCUACAUUCUCAUAAUACUUAAAAUAUGCUUGCCUUAUGUUUUCCAGGCCAUUGCAUGUGGUGCUCUCUUUGCCUGGAGUUCUCUCCUUCCUCCGUUCUUCUACUUGCCACCACUUCCCCAUGUAAUGACCCGAUUUGGAGAAGACUUGUUUCUGCCCCUCUUAUGGGUUCCCUUAGUACCCUAUUCUAAGUUCUAUUAAUUCAGACUGCAUUGUAACUCCCUGUUCAUUGUCUUCAUCAUUGUGUCCCCAAUGCGUAUACAGCACCUAAGGUUUGGAAAGUACUCAAAUAAAUGAAAGUCGGUGACAUUGAAAUACAUGUAUAA
Long non-coding RNA from Mesoplodon densirostris (Blainville's beaked whale), 2227 nucleotides. RefSeq lists it as uncharacterized. Lineage: Eukaryota; Metazoa; Chordata; Mammalia; Artiodactyla; Ziphiidae. The record is from RefSeq and is a predicted model, not a curated record. The transcript is spliced from 3 exons.